CACUCCAGCCUGGCCGACAGAGCAAGACUCCGUCUCAAAAAAAAAAAAAAGAUUGCAGUGAGCCACGAUAGCACCACUGCAUUCCAGACUGGGUGACAGGGCAAGGCCGUCUCUCAAAGGAAAAAAGAAACAAAGAUUUCCAUUCUGGCAGUCCACCCCUUUUGUUUCCCCCAUUAUUAACUUUACUUCUCCCUCAUUAUUAGUUUUUACUUUAUUUAAAUGUGUGUAUCUGCUCCCAUCUAACCUAACACGACUCUCUCUCUAGCAAAAAUAUUUGCAAUCUGCAGUCCCUUCCCCAAAGAGGGAUCCACCCAAGCCUCGUAUUGUUGUGUCCACCUCCAAGUUCAGGAUCUUUUGGUGAUAGAUCUUCUCUAGUGAAAAUGUCUUCAAACAUAGCAAGAGGCUUUAAAUACUGGGUAUCCAAAAAAUGAUAGGGGUCCUAAAACCAGAUCCAGUUACCUACCUAUCAUCCAAGACCUCGCUUGAGUCCUUUUGGGUGCUCCCAACAUUAGUGUCGUAAAACUAAAUACAGGUGAUGUGAGCAGUUGUUCACUGAUGAUUCUAAUGCUCUCUUGGAAUUCAUUGUUUCUCUGUUAUGGUGUUUCAUAGUCUUUGUGGCAAAAAUAGCAUUGCAUCAUUAAAAGUAUGUUACUGUCUGGGCGUGGUGGCUGAAGCCUGUAAUCCCAGCACUUUGGGAGGCCGAGGUGGGUGGAUCACGAGCUCAGGAGAUCGAGACCAUCCUGGCUAACACGGUGAAACCCUGUCUCUACUAAAAAUACAAAAAAUUAGCCGGGCGUGGUGGUGGGCACCUGUAGUCCCAGCUACUCAGGAGGUUGAGGCAGGAGAAUGGCGUGAACCUGGGAGGCGGAGCUGGCAGUGAGCCAAGAUCGCACCAUUGCACUCCAGCCUGGGCAACACAGUGAGACUCCGUCUCAAAAAAAAAAAAAAA
This 949-nucleotide long non-coding RNA is filed under the name Homo sapiens (human). RNAcentral describes it as "HSALNT0318059". Lineage: Eukaryota; Metazoa; Chordata; Mammalia; Primates; Hominidae. The record is from RNAcentral.